AUUGAACGCUGGCGGCAUGCUUUACACAUGCAAGUCGAACGGCAGCGCGGGCUUCGGCCUGGCGGCGAGUGGCGAACGGGUGAGUAAUGCAUCGGAACGUGCCCAGUAGUGGGGGAUAGCCCGGCGAAAGCCGGAUUAAUACCGCAUACGACCUGAGGGUGAAAGCGGGGGACCGAAAGGCCUCGCGCUAUUGGAGCGGCGGAUGUCGGAUUAGCGAGUUGGUGGGGUAAAGGCUUACCAAGGCGACGAACCGAAGCUGGUCCGAGAGGAAGACCCGCCACCCUGGGACUGAGGCACGGCCCCGACCCCUGCGGGAGGCCGCAGUGGGGAAUUUUGGGCAAUGGGGGCAACCCUGAUCCAGCCAUGCCGCGUGCGGGAAGAAGGCCUUCGGGUGGUAAACCGCUUUUGUUCGGGAAGAAAUCCUCUGGGCUAAUACCCCGGGGGGAUGACGGUACCGGAAGAAUAAGCACCGGCUAACUACGUG
This 484-nucleotide ribosomal RNA is filed under the name uncultured bacterium. Its description in RNAcentral is "partial 16S ribosomal RNA". It matches the Rfam family "Bacterial small subunit ribosomal RNA", at positions 28 to 507 of the family's 1533-position model. The record is from RNAcentral.